This 253-nucleotide ribosomal RNA is filed under the name uncultured bacterium. RNAcentral's name for it is "partial 16S ribosomal RNA". It matches the Rfam family "Bacterial small subunit ribosomal RNA", at positions 524 to 776 of the family's 1533-position model. The record is from RNAcentral.
UACAGAGGGUGCAAGCGUUAAUCGGAAUUACUGGGCGUAAAGCGUGCGUAGACGGUUAUGUAAGUCAGGUGUGAAAGCCCCGGGCUCAACCUGGGAAUUGCAUUUGAGACUGCAUAGCUAGGGUGCGGAAGAGGGAAGCGGAAUUUCCGGUGUAGCGGUGAAAUGCGUAGAUAUCGGAAGGAACAUCAGUGGCGAAAGCGGCUUCCUGGUCCAGCACCGACGUUCAGGCACGAAAGCGUGGCGAGCAAACAGG